This 292-nucleotide ribosomal RNA is filed under the name uncultured Planctomycetota bacterium. RNAcentral describes it as "uncultured planctomycete partial 16S ribosomal RNA". Lineage: Bacteria; Pseudomonadati; Planctomycetota. The record is from RNAcentral.
GGACUACUGGGGUAUCUAAUCCCGUUUGCUCCCCUAGCUUUCGAGCCUCAGCGUCAGAAGAGAUCCAGCACGCCGCUUUCGCCACCGGAGUUCCUGUAGAUAUCAACGCAUUUCACCGCUCCACCUACAGUUCCGCAUGCCCCUAUCUCCCUCGAGGCCGACAGUAUCUAAGGCAGUUCCACGGUUGAGCCGCGGCAUUUCACCCCAGACUUGUUAGCCCGCCUACGCUCCCUUUAAGCCCAGUGAUUCCGAACAACGUUCGCACGGUUCGUCUUACCGCGGCUGCUGGCAC